CCUUUGAGCUGGCGCCCUUGUUCACUGCUGACGCCACUCAGAGGCUUGUGCACGUGUCCUGCUUCCAGGCAGAGCUGGGAACUCGCACCCCGUCUUCUGCACGCGGCCGUGGAAUGUCGGGAUGCCGGCGCUUCCUUCCCGUGUGCUCUUGGCGGGGUGGGCUUCUUGCCCUGAGCCGCAUGUCACAGUUUCUGCAGAAGUUUAGGGUUGGAGUGGGCUGACCUCUCUGCAGGUGUCCCCAGCCUCUGCCUGGGGUCUGCCUCCUACUCCCAGGACCCCCUGUCCCCCAGAGGGGCCCCAAGCUGGCAGGCUCACACUCAG
RNAcentral lists this long non-coding RNA (321 nucleotides) under Homo sapiens (human). Its description in RNAcentral is "long non-coding RNA NONHSAT189169". The record is from RNAcentral. Lineage: Eukaryota; Metazoa; Chordata; Mammalia; Primates; Hominidae.